Molecule: long non-coding RNA, 2596 nt
Filed under: Gossypium barbadense (sea-island cotton)
Lineage: Eukaryota; Viridiplantae; Streptophyta; Magnoliopsida; Malvales; Malvaceae
Description: long non-coding RNA (GBAR_LNC009598)
Source: RNAcentral
AUAAAUCAAAAAGAAAAAGCUAUCAUUUUUCUCUUCUCCUUCACCGAAAUAUGCAGCAAAGAAAUGGCUUUGAAGCUGGAAAAUUUUAGCAACAUAUUUCCCUUGCUUGUAAGUGAUUUUAAUGUCUUUGCUUGAUGAUUUUUACAUUUUUAGAACCUCUAAAGCAUGAGCUUUCAUAUGAGGGGUCUAUUUUGCAAAAUGAUGAAGAGUCUAAGGUUUUUCCAUGAGAGUAAACGUGUUGUUUGCUGUGUUUUUAUGGAAGAUUAUGUGUCCUAGUUGUCUAAUAAACAACUUUUGUGAAAGAAAUUGCAUGAAAACACCUUAAAAAGUGCUAGAUUGCUAAGUUGUAAAAUGAGUUGUAAAUGUAUGAAAUAGUUGAAAUUAUGAGUUGCUAUAGUUAUGAAAAUGGUUCAUCUAGACUCAAGGAGUAAAGAAAUGUGAUAAAAAUUAUUUUACGAGCCUAGGGGUAAUUUGGUAAUUUUGGCAAAAUAUAGGGGAAAAUUGUAAAAAUUGCCCAAGUGUGUCAAUUGACAAUUUGAUCAGUAUCUUGUUUUAAUAAGUUGAAUGUGAUAUUUUAGAUGAUGAAAAUCGAGAUUUGGACCUAGAACGGAAAGAAAUCGAUUAAGGGAUAAUUACGUCUUUUUUUUCACCUUUGUGGUAUCGAGGUAAGUUCAUGUGUAAAUAAUGUAGCAUAAUUGUUAUUUUUAAGUUAUUGAUGUUAAAUAUAUGAUAUGCUGAUUUUUAUCAUGAAAUAUAUGCUUUGUGGUUAUUUUCGAAUAAAAUGCAAGUUAUGUGUAUUAUUUGUUAAAUAUAAAGUGCUACCGAGUAUUGGUUUCGGUAUUUUACGGAAGAUGGCAAGGAGAUGUGUUCGAGGAAAAUCCCGUUUGAACCUUAGGAAUAGAUUAGGAUACAAGUGACAUGUCACUAGGAUGGUUGAGCAUCCGAACUCGUUGAGUUGAGUCCGAGUUCACUUAUGGAUGCAAAUGUUCGAACUCGUUGAGUUGAGUCCGAGUUCGUGAGAUGUAACUAGGCAUCCGAGCUCGUUGAGUUGAGUCCGAGUUCACUUAUGGGCAGGUUACAUGGUAGCUUGGCUACAUAUGUGGCACUUAUGUGCAAACUUUCCAUGUAUCCGAAUUAUAUUCCGAUGUGUUCAACGGGUAAAAUUCUACUCAAAUGGAGGAAUACUCGAGAUGAAAGGGACGUAUUGGUAAAUGUUGUGAAAUGGAUCCUUAGAACAGGUAUGUACUUAACCCUCGGGUUGAAAACUCGACAUAACAAUAAUAUGGUAAGAUGAUCAAUGAAAAUGUGAUAUGAAUGUCUCGGUGAUGAUUAUACAAACGAUGUUGUAUUAAUUUUGUGAACAAUGAUCAUGAAUGAGUAAUUUAGCCUUGACAGAUUUGAGUUACUGCAGUAGUGUAACUUUAAAAAUACACUAAAAAUAGUGGAAAAUGAGUUAGAGGCAGAAUAAAGUAUGGGAUUAAAGCUUAAUGAGUCUAUUUUCACAUGAAAGAAACAGGGGAUGAAAAAGAUUCCAUAUUGUGUGAUAUUUGAAUUCUUGUGAAACAGGGUCUGAAUGAAUUCGAGAUCCCCUGUUCUGACUUUAGAAAUUCACCAAAAAUUGUACAAAAAUUAUUAAGAGUCAUACCUUACAUGCAUGGAUUCCUUAUUUAGUCUAUUUUUAGGGGAAAUAAACGCCAUGGUCGUUGGAAUUUUGUAUAGGAAGAAAUUCUGUUUGUAGUGCACAGGGGUCAGAGUGGUCAUACCCUGAAACAGGAGAGACUUUAACUAAUAAACUGUACUAAUUGGCCCAACCAAAAAUUCUAGGAAAAAAUUAUUAAGUAGACAUAUGAGUCUAGUUUCAAUAGAAAUAGACAAGAACAUUAUUCGAGUCUUGUACUAUGAGAUAAUUGAACUUUAGUACAGAAGGGUCGGAACUGUCAGACAGUGAAUCAGGGGUAACUUCGAGGAAUAAACUGUACUAUUUGGCUUAACCAAAAAUUAUGAAAAUUUUAUGGAAGAAAGGAAAAUAAGUCUAGUUUCAAGGAAAAUUAACAGAACUUAAUUCGGAGUUUCGUAGCUCUAGAUAUAAAUAAUUUAGUGACCAUUGCUCAGAAAGACAGCUUGUAGUGAACUUGAGAAUAUGUUGUAAACAUUGAUAAAACAAGUUAAUGAGUGCUUAUUGUUUUCAUAUGAACUUACUAAGCGAAAGCUUACCCCCCUCUUCUUUCCCAUGUUUUCUAGAGUUUCCAGGUUAGCUCGGGUUGGAGGCCGUCAGAGAUAUUAUCACACUGUCAAGCUAACGCUAUUGGUGUAGUGAUUUCAAGUACUUUGAGCCUAUGGCAUGUAUAGGAGUUUAAAUAUUAGAGUAUGUGAUAUGGCUUUAACCAUAUGUGUUGGCAUAUUUUGAUUAUGGGGUUGUAAAUCUAUUUUAAUUAUGCAUGCAUGUGCUAUGGUAUUAUGUGAUGAGUUUAUAAUGAUUAUAGUAUGAAUGUGGUAAAGAUGUGAGUAAAAUCUAUGAUAUCUAUUGCAUGUGAAAUUGCCAUAAUCAUGACAUGUUAGGAAUGUUUAAGUACCUAAUUUUGCCAUGUUGUAUGUU